This is a long non-coding RNA of Astatotilapia calliptera (eastern happy), 1557 nucleotides long. Lineage: Eukaryota; Metazoa; Chordata; Actinopteri; Cichliformes; Cichlidae. The record is from Ensembl.
CUCACUCACACACACACACACACACACACUCACUCACUCACACACACACACACACACAUACAGACACACACUCACACACUCACACACACACACACUCACACACACAUACAGACACACACUCACACACACACACACAGACACACUCACACACACACACACUCACACACACACUCACACACUCACACACACACACACACACACACACACACACACACACACACACACUCACACACACACACACACUCACACACUCACACACACAUACAGACACAUACAGACACACACACACACACACACACACACACACACACACACACACACACACACUCACACACACACACACUCACACACACUCACACACACACACACUCACACACACUCACACACACACACACUCACACACACACACACUCACACACACUCACACACUCACACACACAUACAGACACACAGACACACACACACUCACACACACACACUCACACACACACUCACACACACACACACUCACACACACUCACACACACACACACUCACACACACUCACACACUCACACACACAUACAGACACACACACACACACACACUCACACACACACACACACACACACACUCACACACACAUACAGACACAUGCAUGUAUACUGACACAGACACACACCCCCUCCAAACGCCUUCAAAGCUCAUGUCUUCCAUGUUGUGAAAUGUGAUGAUUCCUGUGCUGAGGUGUUUUUUCUGUUGUCAAACUGAUCUCCCCGUUGGAGCUCAGUCCGGGGGGGUCUUUUUUCUCCUCGUCUUUCCUCGUGUUGUGCAUUUUCCGUUGUUAUGCCUCUCUGACCUGUCUUCCCCAUGCGAUGUUUGUGUAAUGUAUGUAUGGUCGGACAGGUAAGACGGCGCUGGCACGGCUGGCAGCCUUAACCCAAUUUCCCUCGAGAUGAAUAAAGUAUUUUCAAUCAAUCAAUCAAGCAAUAUAUACUUGCGUUUUUCCUCAAUAGUUUGGUCACGUUUACUGUCUAAGGACAGCGCAGCGAGCACUCUCUGCUUAUGAGCUAAAAAUAAAAAACAAAACAAAAAACAGCCCGUUCGUGUUGGUGGAAAAAUGCACCAUGUCGACCAAUCAAAAGUGAUAUAGCAACAUGACGUUUACGAAGAGGGGGAAGAUUUAGGAGUGACGGCGAGAGAGAGAGCGAGUUUUGAGAUGUGAGAGAUUUGUGACGUUUAGCGUGUUUGGAGUGUGUAGUUAAUGUGUUGUCUUGUGUAGUUAGUGUGUAGUGUUGUGGAUAGUUUUGUGUGUCAGAACAAUGAGGCGGCUGCUGUCUCCAGGUAGAAACAGGAGUGAUACACCUGCUGCUGUCAGACCUGCAGGUAUCAGGCUGUGAUGUUUCCUUUAUAGUGGACAGAAAUAUUUGCAGUGGCACAAAUAAUUUGUGGCACCUUAUUGAAGAACAGCUGAUUGUUCUGUAAAUAGUUUGAAAUGGUUAUUUAAAAAAAGGGUCAAAGGUAAAUGGCUGCAAAUAACUUUGUUUGAAAACUUGUGCAUAUGAUUUUAAAAUUGGC